RNAcentral lists this long non-coding RNA (360 nucleotides) under Nicotiana benthamiana. RNAcentral describes it as "long non-coding RNA (NBEN_LNC038100)". The record is from RNAcentral. Lineage: Eukaryota; Viridiplantae; Streptophyta; Magnoliopsida; Solanales; Solanaceae.
AAAAGUUAUCUAUUGAUACUUUACAUGAAUUACAUUUACAUUACAAAUAUAGAAUAUUUCGUUAACAAUAAUAAAGAACUCAAAAAUCUAUAUACAAAUGGAGAAUAAAAAAAUAAAAAAAAAUAAAAAAAAAAUCACUCACACGCUCACAUAGACAUUGUUAUAUGGAAUUAAAGGGACCAACAGCUUCUUUCGCCACAGAGAAAGACGAAACAACAACUAGAGAGGAAAAGAGUAAUACCAAUUCAACCAAAUGAUGGCUCAUGCAAACGGAGGCCGCCAUAUUCUAACAGACAAAUCUUACAAACUAAAGCAACAAUCAAAGAGAAACUAAUGAACUCAAAGGAGGCGUGAACUCUA